Molecule: ribosomal RNA, 445 nt
Filed under: uncultured bacterium
Lineage: Bacteria
Description: bacterial SSU rRNA
Rfam family: Bacterial small subunit ribosomal RNA
Source: RNAcentral
ACCAGACUCCUACGGGAGGCAGCAGUGGGGAAUAUUGCACAAUGGGGGGAACCCCGAUGCAGCGACGCCGCGUGAGGGAAGAAGGUUUUCGGAUUGUAAACCUCUGUCCUCUGUGACGAUAAUGACGGUAGCAGAGGAGGAAGCCACGGCUAACUACGUGCCAGCAGCCGCGGUAAUACGUAGGUGGCGAGCGUUAUCCGGAAUUACUGGGUGUAAAGGGAGCGUAGACGGCCAGACAAGUCAGAAGUGAAAGCCCAGGGCUCAACCCUGGGACUGCUUUUGAAACUGCCGGGCUGGAGUGCAGGAGAGGUAAGCGGAAUUCCUAGUGUAGCGGUGAAAUGCGUAGAUAUUAGGAGGAACACCAGUGGCGAAGGCGGCUUACUGGACUGUAACUGACGUUGAGGCUCGAAAGCGUGGGGAGCAAACAGGAUUAGAUACCCCGGUA